AGUUUUCUCAACCCGUACAGAGAUUUUAUCAGAUACCAACCCAUUAGGACUGAUCAGACUUCCAAGAUAAGUGAAGUU
Non-coding RNA from Schistosoma haematobium, 78 nucleotides. The record is from Rfam. Lineage: Eukaryota; Metazoa; Platyhelminthes; Trematoda; Strigeidida; Schistosomatidae.